GGUUGCGAUCAUACCAGCACUAAUUCCCCAGAUCCCAUCAGGACACCGUAGUUAAGCGUGCUUGGGUGAGAGUAGUACUAGGAUGGGUGACCCCCUGGGAAGUCCUCGUGUUGCAACUU
Molecule: ribosomal RNA, 119 nt
Filed under: Helianthus annuus (common sunflower)
Lineage: Eukaryota; Viridiplantae; Streptophyta; Magnoliopsida; Asterales; Asteraceae
Source: RNAcentral